This 430-nucleotide ribosomal RNA is filed under the name uncultured bacterium. RNAcentral's name for it is "bacterial SSU rRNA". It matches the Rfam family "Bacterial small subunit ribosomal RNA", at positions 355 to 776 of the family's 1533-position model. The record is from RNAcentral.
UUGGGAAUAUUGCGCAAUGGAGGAAACUCUGACGCAGCGACGCCGCGUGAGCGAAGAAGGUCUUCGGAUUGUAAAGCUCUGUCGAAUGGGAAGAACGCAUAGAUAGUUAACUGCUAUCAGUGUUGACGGUACCAUUGGAGGAAGCACCGGCUAACUCUGUGCCGGCAGCCGCGGUAAUACAGAGGGUGCAAGCGUUGUUCGGAAUCACUGGGCGUAAAGAGUUCGUAGGCGGACUUGAUAGUAUGAGGUUAAAGACCAGGGCCUAACCCUGGGACUGCUUCAUAAACGUCAAGUCUGGAGUAUUGGAGAGGAUAGCGGAAUUCCUGGUGUAGAGGUGAAAUUCGUAGAUAUCAGGAGGAACAUCUGAGGCGAAGGCGGCUAUCUGGACAAGUACUGACGCUAAAGAACGAAAGCAUGGGGAUCAAACAGG